AGCUAUGAUGUUGUAAUUUGCGUCUGACUGGUAGUCAUGACGACAGUUGCCUGCUGUCACCAUGUCAGAUUACCAAACUGUAGACAACUUCUCUCUGACUGCU
This is a small nucleolar RNA of Saccostrea echinata, 103 nucleotides long. RefSeq annotates it as small nucleolar RNA SNORD16. The transcript has a single exon. NCBI's taxonomy places the organism in Eukaryota, Metazoa, Mollusca, Bivalvia, Ostreida, Ostreidae. The record is from RefSeq and is a predicted model, not a curated record.